Molecule: long non-coding RNA, 2366 nt
Organism: Alligator sinensis (Chinese alligator)
Lineage: Eukaryota; Metazoa; Chordata; Crocodylia; Alligatoridae
Exons: 3
Source: RefSeq, a predicted model, not a curated record
UUCAUGCCGGGCUUAUCACCAUAGCUACUACAUCAUACUCCUCCGAUUGAAAUUCUUCUAAAUUACAUUGUGUCCCCACCAGCCAGAGAGCGAUUUAUCAGAUUUUACUGUUCUAGAGGGAACGAACGUGUCCUGUAAUUGUCCUUGGAAGGGAAAAUGAUGGCUGUACUGACGUAGCAUAAAAACAAAGGCUCUGAGGCUGUGGGGCCCCAUGUACAGCCCCCUGAAGCUAAUGGACAACCAAGGACCUUAAUGGGCUCUGGACCAGGCUCAGAGCUGCCUAAUGGAAAUUAGAUUCUUUGCUGCAACCUCAUGUAAUUGCCGCUGAACUUGGGACGAGGCUUUCCACUCCUCUCCACGCAGCUGACUCAAGCCCUGAAACAGUGGGGAAUCUCAAUUUUUUCCCCUGAUUGUUUGAGGAAAGAUGCUGCUUUGGUUUUUGGACACCAUAUUCAAUGCAAGGUCUGUUUCAGCUCCCCCGCCCCCUGGCGCGGAUCGGGAAGUCAUUACCUUCUCGGGUUUCUGCUGGCCAUGGUAUCUGUUUGCACGCUUUGAUUGCUGAUACCCUGUGUGGGAUGAGCCAGUGCUUUAAGUAUCUCUCUCCAGUAAAGUGCACUGCAAGGAAGCGCAGUGAUAUAUCGCAAUGUAACACACUGCCUAGGGUGCAGCAUCAUGGGCACUGUUUAUCUGUAAGUCAUGCUGUUUGCUUUUUGGGAUAUUAGGACUGCCCAGAUAUAGGUCUUUUAGCUUCCCUACUGUACCUAACUAUUGUCCCUGAGAAGGUGUUAAAGUGACUGUCCAAGAUCACAACCAGAGUCAGGAACAGAACAUGCCUGACAUGUCCACACAGCCAAAUGAUGGAGUGGUUACGGCACAUGCCAGCACACCCCUGCCAGCACAGGGAACAAGAUCAGCGAACAUCCCACGGCCCUUGUCUUACCAGCAUAUGCACUCUCCAGGGACUAUGGGUACCUACUGUUGCAGCUUCACUUUGCUGCAAAACCUGUUUCCCCUUGUUUCUGCAGAGAUAAUGGAGCCUCUCCCAUCACUGCAGUAUGGCUCUAGCCAAGCAGCAGGGAUGGCCUUUCCACAAUGGACCUGUAGCCUGGGUUAGAAAAGGAAAGAGGAAGAUUGCUCAGCACAACAGAAGCAAAUGCACCCAACAGCACAAUCCAAGUAAUACUGUGUGCAUGGGUGUAAGACUACAGACAUUUGCAUAUGAGUUUGCCUAAGGCCAAGCGAAUUGUUUUAGUGGAAAUCCAAGCCCACACUGAUCCUGUCACGUUUGGCUAUGCAGGACAGAGAAAGAUCGGAUCAGCAAGGCCCUUUGGAGAUGCCUUGCAUUCUGAUGCCGUGAGCCUGAGACACAUGGAUGCGCUAUCGUAUCAGGUACCACAGAAAUGUGAGGAAUUAUUACAGAAGAGUUCUUCCAGCUGCAUCAAAUCUGUCUGCACGUGUGUGAAAAUGCUCCCCAAAGGCCCAUCAAGAGGAAUCUGAGAUUGGCUGAGUCCAGAGUUCAUCUGGCUCUGUUCAAAAUACUUCUUAAUAGGAGAAUGUGCCGUUACAUUAUCGGGCAGCUUUUGUUUAUUUUAUUUUUUCAUCGCAGCCUUGGUGCCUUGGCUCGCUCUAGACAAUAAAACUUAAGCUUCUAUCAACUGCUAUUAUAGGUUGUUUGUUUGUUUUUUUUUUAAUCCACAACAACAGUGUGAUUAUAUCCAGGCUUCCUACAUUAAGACAGACGUUGACCUAACUGUGGCAGUGCUACCACUUAAUUCCUAAUAAAAAAGAUCUCUUUCUUCGAUAGCUCACACCGAGUGAAAUUCUUCCCCGAGGAGAGGACACACACUAGAACCUAGGCAUCAAUCGAGUCCCAUUUUGGAGACUAAAUAUGACACAGGUCUUGUUGCACGAGGAUAUGUUCUACCUUGCAAGCUCAUAAAUGAUGUUGAACUGAGAGCCCUGGAUAGCAAAGACCUUGACUUAUGAACACCUUGGGCACUGGCAGUCCCUGUGUUUCCCCUUGAAUUUCUCCUACUUCCACUUAAGCUCUGACUCAGAAGAAGCAUACUUGAGAGCUGACAUGAGAUGUGGGAGAAAGUGGUAGACAUGAGUACAGAAAUUUGAUGCAGCUGUUAGUGUAAAUGUAGUGCAGGUCUCAGGCUUUCUGAUGGACCUACAUAGGCUGGUGAGCAAGACUGUCCUAGGUGACCCCAAUCGAGACACAUACUUACUACGGCCAACAACCUAUUCUUGGUAGCUCGUGGUGAGUCUCAGGCACUGCUGAGAUGAUCUGGAUUUCAGCUGUUAUCCCAACAUUAGAAGACAUGAUGUUUUCUCUCUGAUAUCCAAAGUCACUCAAUCCCACC